CAAUAGCGUAUAUUAAAGUUGUUGCGGUUAAAAGCUCGUAGUUGGAUUUCUGCUUGGGGCGACCGGUCCACCCUUCGGGUGAGUAUCUGGUGUGCUUUGGGCAUCCUCCUGGGGAACGUUGCUGCACUUGACUGUGUGGUGCGGAAUCUAGGACUUUUACUUUGAGGAAAUUAGAGUGUUCACUGCAGGCAUACGCCUUGAAUACAUUAGCAUGGAAUAAUAAGAUAGGGCCUCGGUUCUAUUUUGUCGGUUUCUAGAGCUGAGGUAAUGAUUAACAGGGAUAGUUGGGGGCAUUCGUAUUAACACGUCAGAGGUGGAAUUCUUAGAUUGUGUUACGACGAACUACUGCGAAAGCAUUUGCCAAGGAUGUUUUCAUUGAUCAAGAACGAAAGUAUGGGGAUCGAAGAUGAUCAGAUACCAU
RNAcentral lists this ribosomal RNA (421 nucleotides) under uncultured eukaryote. Its description in RNAcentral is "SSU rRNA". It matches the Rfam family "Eukaryotic small subunit ribosomal RNA", at positions 592 to 1018 of the family's 1831-position model. The record is from RNAcentral.